AAGGGCACCACAAGAACGCGUGGAGCAUGUGGCUUAAUUUGACUCAACGCGGGAAAUCUUACCGGGUCCGGACACACUGAGGAUUGACAGGUAUUAUUGUAUCUAUCUAUUAAUGAUAGAUACAUGUUAAAUAUGCUAGUCCUUUCAUGAUUAUGUGAUAGGUGGUGCAUGGCCGUUCUUAGUUCGUGGAGUGAUCUGUCUGCUUAAUUGCGUUUCACUAAGGGCCUAUAAAUUUACGUAUGUUGCGGCGUUUUGACCCCUCUUAAUUGAGCGCGUGUCUUUGUCUGCUUAGCUCAUACAAUUAGGUCCUGAAAGCAACGAACGUGACCGCAACCUCUUGUUGCCUUUAUACCAAACACUCAGUUCUAUAUAUCAUACUUCUGAUUAUAGUCUUUGUGCAAAAAGGCCUUUUAAACUAGAGGGACCGCUGUUACUUUCUUAAACCAGAAGAAGGUUGCGGCAAUAACAGGUCUGUGAUGCCCUUAGAUGUUCCGGGCUGCACACGUGCUACGAUGAUUAUUGCAGUGAGCAUCUCAUUUUUUACACACCGCAUGCGCGAGUCUAUUUAUUCACCUUUUGUGUGCUUUAAAUAUGUAUCUCUGCGCGCGGUAAAGCCUGCUUCGAAAGUAAGUGGGUAAUCAAUUAGAAGUAAUGAUUUCCUUAUAUAGCACACAUAUAUACGGCAUCUUUACCCGGCUUACCUUGUUGUAAGUUUCUUGUGCGUAUUGAUGUUUUUUCCGUAUGUGCGAUUGUCAAUUCAUGGUGGGGACAGACCAUUGUUAAUUGUUGGUCUCGGUCUUAACUAGGAAUGCCUUGUACGGGUCUUUGGUUCAACAAACCACCCGGAAUACGUCCCUGCCCUUUGUACACACCGCCCGUCGCUCUUACCGAUGGACUUCUCUGUGAGUUUGAGGGACUGGGAACGCAUAUAUUUAUAUAUUGCACACCUAUGGAAACUUAAACGAACAGUGUGGUCUAAAGGAAAGAGAAGUCGU
This 995-nucleotide ribosomal RNA is filed under the name Neoassilina ammonoides. RNAcentral describes it as "SSU rRNA". It matches the Rfam family "Eukaryotic small subunit ribosomal RNA", at positions 1160 to 1792 of the family's 1831-position model. The record is from RNAcentral. Lineage: Eukaryota; Foraminifera; Rotaliida; Nummulitidae.